UUUUCACCUGAAAUGGGAGAAACGUGCUGCUGAUUCAUUUAAACCAACGCUACAUGAAGGAAACGCUUUCGACCCAGAGUUCCCAUGCCAUGGUUUCCAG
Melanotaenia boesemani (Boeseman's rainbowfish) is the source of this 100-nucleotide long non-coding RNA. RefSeq lists it as uncharacterized. The transcript has 3 exons. NCBI's taxonomy places the organism in Eukaryota, Metazoa, Chordata, Actinopteri, Atheriniformes, Melanotaeniidae. The record is from RefSeq and is a predicted model, not a curated record.